RNAcentral lists this ribosomal RNA (117 nucleotides) under Fritillaria unibracteata var. wabuensis. Its description in RNAcentral is "partial 18S ribosomal RNA". It matches the Rfam family "Eukaryotic small subunit ribosomal RNA", at positions 1716 to 1831 of the family's 1831-position model. Lineage: Eukaryota; Viridiplantae; Streptophyta; Magnoliopsida; Liliales; Liliaceae. The record is from RNAcentral.
CAGGUCGCGAGCGGUUCGCCGCCUGUGACGUCACGAGAAGUCCACUGAACCUUAUCAUUUAGAGGAAGGAGAAGUCGUAACAAGGUUUCCGUAGGUGAACCUGCGGAAGGAUCAUUG